CGCUGGCGGCGUGCCUACACAUGCAAGUCGAACGCCCUUCUUUCGGGAAGGGAGUGGCGGUCGGGUGAGUAACGCGUGGGUAGACCUACCCCGAAGUGAGGAAUACCACCGGGAAACCGGUGACAAUACCGCAUAGGUUUCGCAAGAAACAAAGCUUCGAAAGAGGCGCUUUGGGAUGGGCCCGCGUCCGAUUAGCUAGUUGGUGGGGUAAAAGCUCACCAAGGCGACGAUCGGUAGCUGGUCUGAGAGGACGAUCAGCCACACUGGGAUUGAGAACGGCCCAGACUCCUACGGGGGGCAGCAGUGAGGAAUUUUCGUCAAUGGGGGAAACCCUGAACGAGCAACGCCGCGUGCAGGAAGAAGGUUUUCGGAUCGUAAACUGCUUUUCUCUGGGACGAGUUCGGACGGUACCAGAGGAACAAGCCCCGGCUAACUACGUGCCAGCAGCCGCGGUAAUACGUAGGGGGCGAGCGUUGUCCGGAGUUACUGGGCGUAAAGGGCACGCAGGCGGUCUGGCAAGUUUGGAGUGACAGUCUUCGGCUUAACCGAGGAAGGCCUUUGAAAACUGC
Molecule: ribosomal RNA, 569 nt
Filed under: uncultured bacterium
Lineage: Bacteria
Description: bacterial SSU rRNA
Rfam family: Bacterial small subunit ribosomal RNA
Source: RNAcentral